UACGUAGGGUGCGAGCGUUAAUCGGAAUUACUGGGCGUAAAGCGUGCGCAGGCGGUUAUACAAGACAGGCGUGUAAUACCCGGGACUUAACUGGGAAUGGCGUCUGUGAGAGUAUAGCUAGAGUGUGUCAGAGGGGGGUGGAAUUCCACGUGUAGCAGUGAAAUGCGUAGAUAUGUGGAGGAACACCAAUGGCGAAGGCAGCCCCCUGGGAUAACAAUGACGCUCAUGCACGAAAGCGUGGGGAGCAAACAGGAUUAGAUACCCUGGUAGUCCACGCCCUAAACGAUGCUGACUAGUUGUUGGGAAUUUACAUUCUCAGUAACGUAGCUAACGCGUGAAGUCAGCCGCCUGGGGAGUACGGUCGCAAGAUUA
Molecule: ribosomal RNA, 372 nt
Filed under: uncultured prokaryote
Description: bacterial SSU rRNA
Rfam family: Bacterial small subunit ribosomal RNA
Source: RNAcentral